GCUAAACGCGAAGAACCUUACCUACACUUGACAUGUCCGGACGAUUUCCAGAGAUGGACUUUCCCGCAAGGGGGCCUCGCACAGGUGCUGCAUGGCUGUCGUCAGCUCGUGUCGUGAGAUGUUGGGUUAAGUCCCGCAACGAGCGCAACCCUCGCCUUUAGUUGCCAGCAUGUUUGGGUGGGCACUCUAAAGGAACUGCCGGUGACAAGCCGGAGGAAGGUGGGGAUGACGUCAAGUCCUCAUGGCCCUUAUGGGCUGGGCUACACACGUGCUACAAUGGCGAUGACAAUGGGAAGCCAGGUCGCGAGGCCGAGCCGAUCCCAAAAAGUCGUCUCAGUUCGGAUUGCAGCCUGCAACUCGGCUGCAUGAAGGUGGAAUCGCUAGUAAUCGCGCAUCAGCAUGGCGCGGUGAAUACGUUCCCGGGUCUUGUACACACCG
RNAcentral lists this ribosomal RNA (438 nucleotides) under uncultured bacterium. RNAcentral's name for it is "bacterial SSU rRNA". It matches the Rfam family "Bacterial small subunit ribosomal RNA", at positions 954 to 1392 of the family's 1533-position model. The record is from RNAcentral.